This is a non-coding RNA of Callorhinus ursinus (northern fur seal), 73 nucleotides long. Lineage: Eukaryota; Metazoa; Chordata; Mammalia; Carnivora; Otariidae. The record is from the annotation of a RefSeq genome assembly.
ACCUGGCUGGCUCAGUCGGUAGAGCAUAUGACUUUUAAUCUCGAGGUUGUAGGUUCGAGCCCCACGUUGGGUG